This 468-nucleotide ribosomal RNA is filed under the name uncultured bacterium. Its description in RNAcentral is "partial 16S ribosomal RNA". It matches the Rfam family "Bacterial small subunit ribosomal RNA", at positions 28 to 507 of the family's 1533-position model. The record is from RNAcentral.
GACGAACGCUGGCGGCGUGCUUAACACAUGCAAGUCGAACGGAAAGGCCCUGCUUUUGUGGGGUGCUCGAGUGGCGAACGGGUGAGUAACACGUGAGUAACCUGCCCUUGACUUUGGGAUAACUUCAGGAAGCUGGGGCUAAUACCGGAUAGGAGCUCCUGCUGCAUGGUGGGGGUUGGAAAGUUUCGGCGGUUGGGGAUGGACUCUCGGCUUAUCAGCUUGUUGGUGGGGUAGUGGCUUACCAAGGCUUUGACGGGUAGCCGGCCUGAGAGGGUGACCGGCCACAUUGGGACUGAGAUACGGCCCAGACUCCUACGGGAGGCAGCAGUGGGGAAUAUUGCACAAUGGGCGGAAGCCUGAUGCAGCAACGCCGCGUGCGGGAUGACGGCCUUCGGGUUGUAAACCGCUUUCGCCUGUGACGAAGCGUGAGUGACGGUAAUGGGUAAAGAAGCACCGGCUAACUACGUG